This 450-nucleotide ribosomal RNA is filed under the name uncultured bacterium. Its description in RNAcentral is "partial 16S ribosomal RNA". It matches the Rfam family "Bacterial small subunit ribosomal RNA", at positions 354 to 796 of the family's 1533-position model. The record is from RNAcentral.
GUGGGGAAUUUUGGACAAUGGGCGCAAGCCUGAUCCAGCAAUGCCACGUGGGUGAAGAAGGCCUUCGGGUUGUAAAGCCCUUUUGUACGGGAAGAAAUCAUUCGGGUUAAUACACUGGGUGGAUGACGGUACCGUAAGAAUAAGCACCGGCUAACUUCGUGCCAGCAGCCGCGGUAAUACGAAGGGUGCAAGCGUUAAUCGGAAUUACUGGUCGUAGAGCGUGCGUAGGUGGUUGUUCAAGUCUGUCGUGAAAGCCCUGGGCUGAACCAGGGAAUGGCGAGGGAAACUGGGCGACUAGAGUGCGGUAGAGGAUGGCGGAAUUCCCGGUGUAGCGGUGAAAUGCGUAGAGAUCGGGAGGAACAUCCGUGGCGAAGGCGGCCAUCUGGACCAGCACUGACACUGAGGCACGAAAGCGUGGGGAGCAAACAGGAUUAGAUACCCUGGUAGUCC